UUCAACGCCUUCUCUGUUACUGGCUCACGUCUAAAAGCUUACUUUUUGGUGUUUUAUUUUUGAAUGUUUGUCAAUCUGGAUUCUGAAACUAAGUUGCAAUCAUGCAUCGAGAAAUAACCAAGAUUAUUGAAUGAACAUCGUCCAUCUUGCAAAGGUGUUUGUUUAUUAGCUGUUUGCAUUUUUGUGCAUUUGAAAGUUAUUAUUUGUUGCGAAUUGUGCUGUCGUUUUUACUUACUCAAUAUGAGUAAGCGAGUAAAGGCCUGCAGUGUACCAGGAUGCACGAAUAAGUAAGCGAUAAGACAUUCCAUCCCUACGAAUAAAGACGUUUGCAGAAUUUGGUUGCAAAGAAUAAAUAACCCCAAGUUAAUGCUUGCAGAUACAAUAUUAUCAUCACAUAGAAUAUGUGAUAUUCAUUUUGAAUCAAUUUGUAGAAACCCCAGGGGCAGGUUAAAAAAACUUUCACUGGCAACUCUACAUUUACCUGGGCAAAGAUCAAAAAUAUAAAGUCUAUGAUGUUGUGAUGAAUAUGGCAUAUGUUAAAUAUAGGGAAAGCUGCAAGAAAGACAUUAAUUAUCCAUGGUUAUAAAAUCAGUUUUUUAUAUACAAUUGUAUGUACCAUGUACAAACAGAAUCAUUUUUUAAACACACCAACAUGUCACUGUUGACAGUCCUAAGCCUGCUAAAGUGUAAAGGAAAAUUUUUUGUUUGUGGAUAUAGUUAUAAAAUGUCAGAAACAAAAUAAAAAUUAUAAUAAUCA
This is a long non-coding RNA of Diorhabda carinulata, 757 nucleotides long. RefSeq lists it as uncharacterized. The transcript is spliced from 3 exons. The record is from RefSeq and is a predicted model, not a curated record. NCBI's taxonomy places the organism in Eukaryota, Metazoa, Arthropoda, Insecta, Coleoptera, Chrysomelidae.